AAUUAUUGAACUUGUAAAGUAUAUAUUUUGAAAGUAUAAAAAAGAAGUACUAAUCUUCUAAUAAUUU
This 67-nucleotide transfer RNA is filed under the name Dexiogyia corticina. RNAcentral's name for it is "tRNA-Ser". Lineage: Eukaryota; Metazoa; Arthropoda; Insecta; Coleoptera; Staphylinidae. The record is from RNAcentral.